AAAACGAAGAAAGAAGAAGAAGCAUAGUGUUGUCUUCUUCUUCUCCCUUCGUUUCCC
This 57-nucleotide microRNA precursor is filed under the name Caenorhabditis elegans. Its description in RNAcentral is "microRNA cel-mir-8209 precursor". Lineage: Eukaryota; Metazoa; Nematoda; Chromadorea; Rhabditida; Rhabditidae. The record is from miRBase by way of RNAcentral.